RNAcentral lists this ribosomal RNA (437 nucleotides) under uncultured Oscillospiraceae bacterium. RNAcentral's name for it is "bacterial SSU rRNA". It matches the Rfam family "Bacterial small subunit ribosomal RNA", at positions 341 to 792 of the family's 1533-position model. The record is from RNAcentral. Lineage: Bacteria; Bacillati; Bacillota; Clostridia; Eubacteriales; Oscillospiraceae.
ACGGGAGGCAGCAGUGGGGGAUAUUGCACAAUGGGCGAAAGCCUGAUGCAGCAACGCCGCGUGAGGGAAGACGGUUUUCGGAUUGUAAACCUCUGUCUUUGGUGAAGAAAGAAAUGACGGUAGCCGAGGAGGAAGCCACGGCUAACUACGUGCCAGCAGCCGCGGUAAUACGUAGGUGGCGAGCGUUGUCCGGAAUUACUGGGUGUAAAGGGAGCGCAGGCGGGAAUGCAAGUUGGAUGUGAAAUACCGGGGCUCAACCCCGGAGCUGCAUCCAAAACUGUAUUUCUUGAGUGAAGUAGAGGUAGGCGGAAUUCCGAGUGUAGCGGUGAAAUGCGUAGAUAUUCGGAGGAACACCAGUGGCGAAGGCGGCCUACUGGGCUUUUACUGACGCUGAGGCUCGAAAGUGUGGGGAGCAAACAGGAUUAGAUACCCUGGUA